This 253-nucleotide ribosomal RNA is filed under the name uncultured bacterium. RNAcentral describes it as "partial 16S ribosomal RNA". It matches the Rfam family "Bacterial small subunit ribosomal RNA", at positions 524 to 776 of the family's 1533-position model. The record is from RNAcentral.
UACAGAGGGUGCAAGCGUUAAUCGGAAUUACUGGGCGUAAAGCGUGCGUAGUCGGUUAUUUAAGUCGGGUGUGAAAGCCCCGGGCUCAACCUGGGAAUUGCAUUCGAUACUGGAUAGCUAGAGUUCGGCUGAGGGGGGUAGAAUUCCACGUGUAGCAGUGAAAUGCGUAGAGAUGUGGAGGAACACCGAUGGCGAAGGCAGCCCCCUGGGUCAAGAUUGACGCUCAUGCACGAAAGCGUGGGGAGCAAACAGG